CCUACGGGUGGCAGCAGUGAGGAAUAUUGGUCAAUGGACGAGAGUCUGAACCAGCCAAGUAGCGUGAAGGAUGACUGCCCUAUGGGUUGUAAACUUCUUUUAUAUGGGAAUAAAACGUUCCACGUGUGGGAUUUUGUAUGUACCAUAUGAAUAAGGAUCGGCUAACUCCGGGCCAGCAGCCGCGGUAAUACGGAGGAUCCGAGCGUUAUCCGGAUUUAUUGGGGUUAAAGGGAGCGUAGGUGGAUUGUUAAGUCAGUUGUGAAAGUUUGCGGAUCAACCGUAAAAUUGCAGUUGAAACUGGCAGUCUUGAGUACAGUAGAGGUGGGCGGAAUUCGUGGUGUAGCGGUGAAAUGCUUAGAUAUCACGAAGAACUCCGAUUGCGAAGGCAGUUCACUGGACUGCAACUGACACUGAGGCUCGAAAGUGUGGGUAUCAAACAGGAUUAGAUACCCCAGUAGUC
Molecule: ribosomal RNA, 460 nt
Filed under: uncultured bacterium
Lineage: Bacteria
Description: partial 16S ribosomal RNA
Rfam family: Bacterial small subunit ribosomal RNA
Source: RNAcentral